AAAAUGCCUAUGUAAAUUCUUAAAGCUCAGUGUUAUCGACCUUCUAGGCAUAGCGCCAACCGCCAGGGAAAAAGGCCAUCUAUUUUUGUUUUAUAUAUGAAGGGAAAAUAUCCUAUACAAUCACUUAUCCUGGUGCAAGCAUGCAAUCAAGCGAUCUGGUGCAUCCGAUCUAGAUCUAAUGAUGACUGUUAUUUUAUAUUUAACCCCUUCCACCUAAAACAUAGUACCUAUUUUACUUUUAACCCCUUCCAUAUGAAACCGUUGGAUCUAGAUUGGAUGCUCUGGAUAGUUUGAUUGCACGCUUGCACCAAAAUGAGUGAUUGCACAGGAUAUGUCCUCAUAUAUGAAUGCAUCAUCUGUACUAAUUAUGGCUGCACAGACCUUUUGAAAGAGAGCUGCUGAUUUGUGUACCAUAUUUUUCAUCCAUUGCUUCUGCAUUCUCGUUACAUGGGUUAU
This 456-nucleotide long non-coding RNA is filed under the name Zea mays. RNAcentral describes it as "long non-coding RNA (ZMAY_LNC005713)". Lineage: Eukaryota; Viridiplantae; Streptophyta; Magnoliopsida; Poales; Poaceae. The record is from RNAcentral.